Molecule: unclassified non-coding RNA, 336 nt
Filed under: soil metagenome
Description: partial contains 5.8S ribosomal RNA, internal transcribed spacer 2, and large subunit ribosomal RNA
Rfam family: 5.8S ribosomal RNA (bases 1-120)
Source: RNAcentral
GAUGAAGAACGUAGCGAAAUGCGAUAAGUAAUGUGAAUUGCAGAAUUCAGUGAAUCAUCGAAUCUUUGAACGCACAUUGCGCCCGCCAGUAUUCUGGCGGGCAUGCCUGUUCGAGCGUCAUUUCAACCGUCAAGCCCCCGGCUUGUGUUGGGGACCUGCGGCUGCCGCAGGCCCUGAAAAGCAGUGGCGGGCUCGCUGUCACACCGAGCGUAGUAGCAUACAUCUCGCUCUGGGCGUGCUGCGGGUUCCGGCCGUUAAACCACCUUCAUAACCCAAGGUUGACCUCGGAUCAGGUAGGAAGACCCGCUGAACUUAAGCAUACCAAUAAGCGGAGGA